Molecule: long non-coding RNA, 348 nt
Organism: Homo sapiens (human)
Lineage: Eukaryota; Metazoa; Chordata; Mammalia; Primates; Hominidae
Exons: 3
Source: RefSeq, a predicted model, not a curated record
GGCCUUGGACAUAUGUGUACUACUGAAACAUACAUAUGCCGUGGAAGUUUUUGUAAUACAGACCUUCUGUCUUCCUUAAUCAAUAUUGUGUCUUAACUCAUGUGUGGCAGAUCAAAAGUGGACAAAAAUUCAUGGACACUCCUCCCACGAAGAGAACCCAGGCCUUAAGAAACUGGCAUUUUCUACUGCCUUAGAUUGUCCUCUGUGGGAGUCCUGAAAUACCAUGUAUGUAAGAAGUUUACCUACCCUGAAAUGGCAAUGCUGGGGAGGCCACAGAACCCAUAAAGUUACUGGAGAAGGGUGUGUCUCUCAUAUCUGAGUACUUCACAGAAAUAUGCAUAUUUAAGA